CACACUUACACGUUAUCCCAGAACUCCCAGCAAAGAAGGAUAAGCUUUUGCAAGCACAAAGUCUCCGGUUGUCAUUCCAGGGCUGCUGUGCCAUAGCUACAUUUAGAAAGUUGCAGGAGAAAAUAAACUGAUUAACAAGCAGCGAAACCUGCAAAUUAUGCCUCACUUAGGCUUAGAUUCAAGAAAACCCAGACCAAGCUUGGGAUUCUAAGAGUCUCUCCGUGCAAGCUGACCUCAUGGAGAAAGUGGCAGAGCUUGUCCCUUCCACUGGGAGACCCUGGAGUUCAUUCAGGAGACUGGAUGCCCCUGGGCUCGGGCUGCACUGUGGACCCCACUGUGGAAUCACCACUCCCAGGCUGACCUCAGGCAGGUUCCAGAUCUGUUCUCCACUUCUGCAACAAAACUUACCCGGGCCAUGGUUUUAUGCAGAAAUCUGACAAGGUCCAUCAAGAGGUUUCCAGAAGAAGGCAUCGCUAUCACAGGAGAUGGCAGCUCCAUGCCUGUUACUGCCCCUGAAGAUGUUCCAGUGGGACAGGGUGUGGAGGUGGAAGACAGCAACAGUGACGAUCCUGACCCUAAAUUGACCAGAUUGCUUUGAGGAACUAAGAAGCUGUUAAACCUUUGGAAGAACUGGCCUGAUACGUUGUCUACAUGGUUCUCCUACAAGGUGUAUGAGUCCAUUUUUAUGCUGCUGAUAAAGACAUACCUGCAACUAAGAGGAAAAAGUUGUUUAACUGGACUUACAGUUCCACAUGGCUGGGAAGGCCUCAGAAUCAUGGCAGGAGGCGAAAGGCACUUCUUACAUGGUGGCACCAAGGGAAAAUGAGGAUGAUGAAAAAGUGAAAACCCCUGAAAAAAUCAGAUUUUGUGAGACUUAUUCACUACCACGAGAACAGUCUGGGGGAAACCGCUCCCAUGAUUCAAAUUAUCUCCCACCCGGUCCCUGCCCCCGCAACCCCCCCACAACAUAUGAGAAUUACGGGAGUACAAUUCAAGAAGAUUUAGGUGGGGACACAAAGCCAAACCAUAUUACAAGGUUUAUAGCCUUGCAGUAAGUAAAGAAUACCAUUUUCUGACAAGCCCAGGAACUUCAGGAUAUUUUGGGGACCUCAAAAAAGAGGGAUUUACCCAAUUCAUACAAGUAUUACAGGCAAAAUCUGAUGGUGAAUUGCUGGCCUGGCUUCCAAUCUUAAGAGGCUUUUAAAGAUUGAACCUGAAAUUCCUUAUAAAAAAAGUUUCAGUCAAGUCAAUUUAAAAAGUGCUCAGAUGGCCAAGUACAAUUCUGGCUGUACUUUAGUCAAAUACUCAGGCCAAGUAUAACAAGUCUAAGACUUUAUUUUGCAAAUAAAUUGGUCCUACUGUAAACCAAAAAGUGUCUGAGACAAGUUUCAGUCCAUUUAGAAAGUUUAUUUUGCCAAGGUUAAGGACAUACCAGUGACACAGCCUCGGGAGAUCUUGACAACAUGUGCCUAAGGUGGUUGGGGCACAGCUUGGUUUUCUACAUUUUAGGGAGACAUGAGACUCAAUCAUUAUAUGCACGAUGUACAUUGGUUUGGUCCAGAAAAGAGGGACAACUUAAAACCAAAAGAGGGCUUCCAGGUCAGAGGUAGAUAAGAGACAAAUGGUUGCAUUCUUUUGAGUUUCUGAUUAGGCUUUCACUGAAUACACAAUUUACAGAAAUAGUCGCUUAUGCCUUAGUCUGGCUUAGUAAAGCAACAGAACAAAGGAAGCACUCAGAUGCGCGUGUCCCAUGUGAGCAGAGGGAUAACUUUGACAUCUGUUUGUGCUUUGUCUAAAGGAAUUUUUCUUCGUGGGAAAAUUGUAAGGGAGGCUUUCAGACAAAUUUUUCUCCUAUUUUUUAAGCUCACUGAAAUUGAUAAUACCUUUUUACCGAGGCCUUGCAAGCUGAAGUUUAUGCAUAAAUAACCUUGUGACAUACAAAUUACAGAUCACAAAAUCUGUCAGAUCGCCAAUGCCUCCUUCCACAGUAACUAAAGAUGCCUCUAGUUGAACAGCUGGAUACCUCAACUGACUGCUCUCCAGACUCUAAAGAAAUCCGUUUAUAGACUGCUCCAAAUAUUAACCUUUGUUUUUCUGCUGUUUGGGAGCCCAUCUGCAACGCCAUUUCCUGAAAUGAGACACAGCUGUUUAAUUGGACUGGUCUACUCGUAGAAAUAGAACACCAGUUUAAUGAUAAUUUUUGCUACUCAGCUAUUAACUCAAAUAUUAUCUUCACACCCAACAACUUAGAUUUUAGUGUGUGAAACUUUGAGGGACAUUUUAGACAGAGGACUUUUGGGGUGCAGAAGUGGUUCCCUGAUAUAUGACACCUGGGCAUGGUGAGUGCUUUUAAACAUUAAAAGACCUCAUAAAUAAGCCUCAGAAUCAUGGUCCCCCUAAAACUGUCUUGGGGCAGGAAGGGACUCUCUCUCUGUAAUUUCCUUAUCUGACUAAGAAAUCUUCUUCCCAAAAAACCACAAUUGCCAUCUAGCCCAUUCCUGAAAUCUCAUUUCAGACAGAAAUGUUACCAUAUCUGGAUGGUCUCUUUCACAAGAUAAUGCCUGCCUCUUGGGGUCAUUCAAAUUCCAAAAAGUAUUAUUUACAAGUUAAUUUCUGUCUCUAAAUUCCACACCUUUUCUUCCUAAUAAUCAUUUACUGCUCCUGAAUAGCAUUGUCUGCAUUCCUCAUCUCCUCCCUCCUUUGUGAAAAAGGGUUUAUAAGCCUCUGUCCCCACUGGGGGUUAGGGUAAUCACUCUGUGAUUCUCUCCAGUGCAUGUUAAAAAUGUGUAUACCUCUUCUCCAAUUAAUCUGUCUUCUGCCAGUCAAUUUUCAGCAAACCUUCAGAGGGCAAAGUAGAUGUUUCCCUUGGCCCCUGUACCCCUUAGGAGCCCUGAAACACUUAUUUUUCCAUAUUAUGCUCUUUAUAUUAAUUUGCUAAUUUACUGAACACAUAUUUUUCAAGCAACUCCUCAUUUGCUGGGCACCUUUCUGGGUGCUGGGACAUAAAGAGACGUGGAGAGAGUUGCCUUGUGAUACAGGAGGUAGAAAGAAAUUAUUUAGGCAGAUAGUGAGGGUAAAAGAGUCUUUGACAGAGCUUCCCUUUUAACAAAAAGCAGCCCAAGAAAUUAUUUUUUUUUCUAACAAAGGGCAGCCUGAAAAGUUGAGCUGCAAACAUAGACAAGCAAGCUGGAAGCUUGCAUGGGAAAUGCCAGCAGCUGUGCCAAUAGAAAAUGGCUACCUGGGGGUCAGGCACGUCCAACGUUGAGGCUCCAUCUUCCCUUUUUUUGUCACUGUGUGUACAGUAAAGGAAUGGGCAACAUGGUGCUGCCACAGCAGAGGACCUGCCUGCUUAAUGAGUGAUUAGGAUGGGGGUGGCCAAAAAUUCGCACCCUAUGCAAAUGGCACACCUAGUCCUAACCAGUUUUUCACACCCCAUGCAAAUGGCACACCUGGUCCAGCCAAUCUUUUGUGCUCUAUGUAAGUCAAAUACCACCCCCUCACCAGACAUCUAUAAAACCUCCUACAUUUCACCACGGCUCCAGCAGCUCAUUUCUUCGGGACCCUUCUCUGCUGCAGGGAGCCGUCCUCCUCCUUUCACCUGUUAAACAUCCACUCUCAACCUCACUCUUCGUGUGUCUGUACCCUUUAGUUUCUCAGCCAUGAGACAGUGAUUUCCAGGGUAUCGCCCCAGACAAUGAGGCCGUUUCACUUGCACACUCACUUGCACACUCGAUUUGUCCCACUCUAGGCCCCCUACUAGGUACCUUGGGUAAGUAAUACAGCAUAUUUUUAUCCUAUGUUUUCUUAAAAUAAGUAAUGGGGAUACUAGAAGCUACAAUCUCAGUCAUGCCAACAAUUAUGGAAUCCAUGGGAAGCACUUGUUACGGACUUAGACCUGGUGAGCGUCUGUAUUUUUUCUGUGGCUGUUGUAACAAAUUACUACCAACGUGGUGGUUUAAAACAAUUCCCACAGUAGAGCUGGCCUGAGUUCCAAGCACCUUCACGGGGCUAAAAUUGAGGUAUUUGGGGAGAGCUGCACUCCUUCUGGAGGCUUUGGGGAGCACCGGCCCUUGGCUCUCCUGACUUCAGGUGGCUGCCAGCACUCGGCUGCAGCUGCCUCACUGCAAUCUGUGCCUCUGUAGUCGUGCCGGGGCCAAGGCAACACGUCCCCUUCACCCUCUGAAGGCUUGCUGGUAAAUAAACUGACAAAAGGCAGAUUAAUUGGAGGAAAGGCAUGAACAUUUAUUAAUAGGUGCUUGGGGGAGAGCCACAGAGUGAUUGUCCCAUAUUCAAUGGGGCCCAGAUACUUGUAUAGCCCUAUUUCAGAGGGGAAGAGGAGAUGGGAAUGUAGGUAAUUACAGGGUGAUACAUGAUUAAAGAAGAGAAUAAAUAGAUCAGGGAACAGGGAUUCACUUGUAAAUGAUGCUCUUUGAAAAUUGACUGAGACUGAGAGACAGACAUUAUCUUGUGAAAGUCUGUCCUGGAGUGGUUACACUCUUGGUCCUGUUUUCUGUAAUAGAUAAUGAGCUAACAGAGAGAGGAAGGAAAGACAGUUGUUCUCCUUGGAUACUCCCUCUGGUCUCUAUGUAGACAGAGAAAAUUCUCCUCCAGCCUCUGUUGAUCUCUGAAGGUCUUUAAUUAAAAAUGCACAUUACAUCAGGGACCACUAUUUUGGGGUGAAGUUCUCUGCACUCCUUCAGUUUCACAUCUUCUGCCAGUUAAGCCACCCUCUGUCUCUCUCUUACAGUAGCACUUGUGAUUCCAUUUAAGGUACACCUCGAUAAUCAGAGCUAUUGCUCCACCACAGAAUCCUUAAACACAUUCCCAAAGACCCUUUCUCUACAUCGGGGAACAACUACACAUUCCAGAGAUUAGGACCUGAUACCUGUGUAAGCUAUUAUUUAGCUCACCACUACAUUUGAUAUAUACCUGUCCCUGGCCCCCAAUCAUUAGAUUAUAAAGAAGGGCUGUCCAAUUGUCAUCUGUCUUCACUGUGGUGCCAACCCUGGAGCUCCCUUGUUAAUACCUAUAUAAUCCUGAGCCCCAACAUGGUUUCAUCUACGCAGAGUAGGGCAGACCUCACCACGUGGGCCAUGGGGCAUUGACCUACUCUGUUUAUCGGUGAUCAGUUCUCUUCCCAUGAUCUGGCCUAAAGUUUCUGGAAAACAGUUUCUAUGCAUAAUUAUCCCAGGUGGAUAUUCCAGAGCUAUAAAAUGCAGAGAUCCUGUCCUGGCCCUGUGUCUAAGCUAGAGAAACAUUUAUUUCAGGUUAUUCUGAGGCUUGAUGGGAAUGACCCUGGUUCCUGGUCUAACCUAAUAGUAAACAUGUUCCCACAGCCAGGUUCUGAGUACUCCAUGGGGCCUGAGCUAACCUCAGUUUUGGGGGACUGUUCUACUUUGUGAAUCACUUUACCAGGCACACAGGCUCUGAAGUUCUUUUCUUCCCUCUUCUUUCCCUCUCUUCCUCAUUCUCCCUCUCCUCUCUCACUCCAUUGAUCUUUUUCUAUUCCUCAACUCCCCAUUUGCUGUCAUCUACUUUGAUUUCCUCAUUCUCCCUCAUGUCUAUAUAUCCAUAUACAGCUUAACUCCCCCCCUCCAUCUCAUCUGAUUCCUCUGUUGAUGAAAAAGCCAAACUCUGAAAAAUAUUUAGAGAUUUAUUCUUAACCAAUAUGAGUGACCAUGGUCAAGGGAACAGUCUUAGAAGGUCUGGAGAAAGUGAGGUGGUUGGAUUACAGCUUGGUUUAUACUUUUUGUGGAGACAAAAGUUACAGACAAAGACAUAAAUCAAUACAUGUGUCAGAGGUGUUUGAACCAGAGAGACUCCAUCUGAAUAGGGGCAUGGUAAAAUAAGAGUGAGACCUACUGGGCUGCAUUCCCAGGAGGUUAGGUAUUCUUAACUUCACAAGAUGAGAUAGGAGGUUGGCCGGAGAUGCAGGUCAUACAGACCUUGCUGAUAACACAGGUUGCAGUAAAGAAGCUGGUGAAAACCCCCGAAAACCAAGAUGGCAACGAGAGUGAUCUCUGGUCUUCACUGCUACACUCCCACUAGCACCAGGACAGUUUACAAAUGCCAUGGCAAUAUCAGGAAGUUACCCUAUAUGGCCUAAAAUGGGAGUCACGAAUAAUCCACCCCUUGUUUAAUAUAUCAUCAAGAAAUAACCAUAAAAAUGGGCAACCAGCAGCCCUCGAAGCUGCUCUGCCUAUGAUGUAGCUAUUCUUUAUUCCUUUGCUUUCACUUUACUGUAUGGACGCACCCCGAAUUCUUUCUUGCACAACAUCCAAGAACCCUCCCUUGGAGUCUGGACCCUGACCUCUUUCCAGUAACACAUGUAAGGUAUACAUUGGUAGGCCCAAAGAUGUGAAAUAUUUCAAAGUGGGGACUUACAGGUAAUAGGUGAAUUCAAGGAUUUUCUGAUCAGCAUUUGGUUGAAAGAAUUUAGCUUUGUCUAAAGACAGUAGAAAGACAUGCUUGAGUUAAGAAAAGGAAGGUUGUGGAAGCCAAGGUUCUUGUUAUGUAGAUGAAGCCUCUAGGUAGUAUUCUUCUGAGAGAAUAGAUGGUCAAUGUCUCUUUUCAGAUUUUAAAUACAGUCCAACUCAAUUAAAUCUCCUCUAGACGUGGCAAAGACCUAGAAAGGGAAAGAGAUUCUAAAGAUGCAAAACUUUACCCCACAAAAGGCUUUGCAGGGCCAUUUCAAAAUAUAUCAGAUAAAUAUAUUUUGAAGUAAAGUGUGUCAGUUUCUUUCAGGGUCUGCUGUCGUGUGAUGCUAUACCAGAGUCAAGUUGGAAUUUGGCAUCUUACUGCCAAAGGGUCUGUUUCAUCCAUAUAAGGAUGUCUAUUUUAAUGUUAAUGCUGGUAAGUUUUGCCUAAACUCCAAAAAAAGAGGGGGUAUAAUGAGGCAUGUCUGACCUGUCUUCCUUCAUGGCCUGGAAUUCAGUUUUUUCGGUUUCUUUGUAAUUCCCUUGGCCCAGAGGGUGGACCCAUUCAUUCGGUCUGAUGGAGGGCUUAGAGAUUUUAUUUUUGGUUUACACCUCAGACUCGAUUCAAGUCAGCAAAUACUUUUAGCACAAAGUAUAUGCCAGAUAUUGUUUAAAGUGGGAUAAAGAACAGAUGGUAUGCCUGGCAUGGUCCUGAUCUGGAAGGACCUAACCUCUUCCUGCCUCUUCCUGGAACCUGUCUUUGCUUUUCAAAUGCCUGCCAGUCUCUGCCUAUCCUUUCCACUCUGUGUCCUGAUUUCUUGUGUUCUCCUCUCACUUUCUCUUGUGUUCUCUGUCCUCUCUCUUCCUUUUGUUCUAAAAUGGCAUCAAAAUCUUAUAAUAAAAAUCUAUCUCCCAUGUUACUUGAAUGACUCUCUACCAAUCUCAUUAUGUUUGUUAUAGAUGAAUAUAAUAUGAGUGAUUUUAAAAAUAUUAUUUUAUUAAAUAAAUUAUGAAAAAUACACAGCAAGGCCUGGGAUUGACAUGCUCAUUUUCAGCCUCAAUAUUAAAUCUCUAGACUGCACAAAUGAUUACACAUUGAACUAAAUGUAUGGUUUUAUCUUUUGUGCCUAUAAAGAAAAGUCUUUCAUAUUAUACAAUUUGUACCACUUUCUCUUUUUUUUGCACAUACACUUCUCCAGCUCCAUUGCCAAACCUCAGCUGUCAAUUCUGUUUAGUCCCGUUGAUGAAAAGAACCAAAUUCUAAAAUAUUUGAAGAGAUUCUUUCUGAACCAUAUAGGAGUGACCAUGGCCCAUGACACAGCCCUCAGGAGAUCUUGAGAACAUGUGCUCAAGGUGGUAGGGGUGUGGCUUGGUUUUAUGCAUUUUAGGGAGACAUGAGACUUCAAUCACAC
Molecule: long non-coding RNA, 7828 nt
Filed under: Homo sapiens (human)
Lineage: Eukaryota; Metazoa; Chordata; Mammalia; Primates; Hominidae
Description: HSALNT0183927
Source: RNAcentral